Molecule: long non-coding RNA, 1003 nt
Organism: Oncorhynchus tshawytscha (Chinook salmon)
Lineage: Eukaryota; Metazoa; Chordata; Actinopteri; Salmoniformes; Salmonidae
Source: Ensembl
AGGAGAGAAUCUCCUCCAGGAAUUUAUGACCUGCCUAACAGAGCCUGGUGUCGGGAGUAUAGAGAGAGAGGGGAUGGUGCUUGCUGUACCCAAAGAGUGAUUUUAAAGUUAGAUACUGGAUGUAUUCAGUCGGGAACAAAGGCAUGUUAGCGUUAGCUAACGUUAGCUAAACCAUUUCUGCCUCAAUGGGUAACUAGCAGUAGCUAGUUAGCUAUUAGCUCACAUUAAAUUGCACAAGAGGUCACCGAAUUGACCAGUCAACAGAAGCUAGCUAACGGGUGACUUUUAACACAGAUCAGUGAAGAGGAAGUAGGACUUGGACAAUUUGGACGACACGUCGCUACAUAUAUCAGUAAAGUCUUGUUGCGCACCCUGACACGGGAUGAUAGAAGGGAUAUUUUUCCAGGACCAGAGCACAUUCUGAGGAGAAGCAGUAUCUUGCAAACAAUCCAUCCUGAGAGGACCUGAGCCCUAGGACCAUGCCUCAGGUCUACCCGGCCUGAUGACUACUUGCGGUCCCCAGUCCACCUGGCCCUGCUGCUGCUCCAGUUUAAACUGUUCUGCCUGCGGCUAUGGAACCAUGACCUGUUCACCGGACGUGCUACUUGUCCCAGACCUGAUGUUUUCAACUCUCAAGAGACAGCAGGAGCGGUAGAGAUACUCUGAAUGAUCGGCUAUGAAAAGCCAGCUGACAUUUACUCCUGAGGUGCUGACCUGUUGCACCAUUGACAACCACUGUGAUUAUUAUUAUUUGACCCUGCUGGUCAUCUAUGAACAUUUGAGCAUAUUGGCCAUGUUCUGUAAUAAUCUCCACCCGGCACAGCCAGAAGAGGACUGGCCACCCCUCAUAGCCUGGUUCCUCUCUAGGUUUCUUCCUAGGUUCUGGCCUUCCUGAGGAGUUUCUCCUAGCCACUGUGCUUCUACACCUGCAUUGCUUGCUGUUUGGGGUUUUAGGCUGGGUUUCUGUACAGCACUUUGAGAUAUCAGCUGAUGUAAGAAGGGC